CCUACGGUGCAGCAGCAGUGGGGAAUAUUGGACAAUGGGCGAAAGCCUGAUCCAGCCAUGCCGCGUGUGUGAAGAAGGCCUUCGGGUUGUAAAGCACUUUCAGUGGGGAAGAAAGCCUUGGGGCUAAUACCCUCGAGGAAGGACAUCACCCACAGAAGAAGCACCGGCUAACUCCGUGCCAGCAGCCGCGGUAAUACGGAGGGUGCGAGCGUUAAUCGGAAUUACUGGGCGUAAAGCGCGCGUAGGCGGUCUGAUAAGCCGGUUGUGAAAGCCCCGGGCUCAACCUGGGAACGGCAUCCGGAACUGUCAGGCUAGAGUGCAGGAGAGGAAGGUAGAAUUCCCGGUGUAGCGGUGAAAUGCGUAGAGAUCGGGAGGAAUACCAGUGGCGAAGGCGGCCUUCUGGACUGACACUGACGCUGAGGUGCGAAAGCGUGGGUAGCAAACAGGAUUAGAUACCCCGGUAGUC
This 466-nucleotide ribosomal RNA is filed under the name Vreelandella stevensii. Its description in RNAcentral is "partial 16S ribosomal RNA". It matches the Rfam family "Bacterial small subunit ribosomal RNA", at positions 338 to 795 of the family's 1533-position model. Lineage: Bacteria; Pseudomonadati; Pseudomonadota; Gammaproteobacteria; Oceanospirillales; Halomonadaceae. The record is from RNAcentral.